AAUUAAAAAUUAUUUUUUUAUUUUGAUUUACAUUAAUUAUUUUAUUUAAAUAAAAUAAAUUUAAUUUAGUUUAAGUAUUUUUUAAAGAUAAAAUUUUUUUUAUUAUAGUUAAUUAGUAUUGAGAAAGAAAUUUGAAAAAUUUUGAAAAUUAAGUUUUUAAAAAGUAAUAUUAAAUUUAUGUACCUUGUGUAUCAGGGUUUAUUUAAAUUAUAAUAUAAAAUAUAUUUUUUUCGAAUUUAAAAGAGUGAAAUAUUUAUAAUUUUUAAUGUUUAAUUAUUAUUUUUAAUAAAUAUUUGGUAAUGAAAUGUUAGUCGUUUUUAAAUAUAUCUAAUUUUUUAAUAAAUAAAUUUAAUUUAUAUAUUAAAUUUAUAAAUAAAAAAAUUUUUAUUUUUAUUUAUUUUUAAUAUAAAUAUUUUAAGGGAUAAGCUUUAAAUUAUAUUAUUAUAAUUUGUUUAAUAAAUAAAAUAAUAUAAUUUAGACUUAAAAAUAGUUUUAAUUUAUAAAAAUGUUUUAAUUUAUUAUUUGAAAUAUAAAAUUUUUAUAAAUAUUUAAUUUUUUAUUAAAAUUUUUUAUAAAAUUAAUUAAUUUUAUAAAUAAUGAUAAAAUUAGUAAAUUAUAAUUUUAAAAAUUAUAAAAUUAAUUUAAAUAUUAUUUAAAGGAAUUCGGCAAAAAUUAUAUUUGCAUGUUUAACAAAAACAUCGUUUUUUGAAAAUAAUUUAAAAUUUGAUCUGCUCAAUGAGAAAUUAUCUUAAAUAGCCGCAGUAUUUUGACUGUGCAAAGGUAGCAUAAUAAUUAGUCUUUUAAUUAAAGACUGGUAUGAAUGAUUGGACAUAAUAUAAACUGUCUUUAUUUAAAUUUAAAAUUGAAUUUAAUUUUUAAGUUAAAAAGCUUAAAUUUUUUUAAAGGACGAGAAGACCCUAUAGAGUUUUAUAUUAUUUUAAUUAUUAAAUUUAAAUUUAUAUUUUUUAUUUAAAAUAAUAUUUUAUUGGGGUGAUAGAAAAAUUUAAUUAACUUUUUUAUUUAAAAUUACAUAAAUGAAUGAAUUUUUGAUCCUAAAUUUUAGAAUAAUAGUUUAAAUUACCUUAGGGAUAACAGCGUAAUUUUUUUUUAGAGUUCUUAUCAAUUAAAAAGAUUGCGACCUCGAUGUUGGAUUAAAAUUUAUUAUAGGUGCAGGUGUUUAUAAUAAUUAGGUCUGUUCGACCUUUAAAAUUUUACAUGAUCUGAGUUCAAACCGGUGUGAGCCAGGUUGGAUUCUAUCCUUAAUUAUAAUUUGAAAAUAUUUAGUACGAAAGGAAUAAUAUUUUAAUUUAAAAUUUAUUUAAUUUUUGAUUAAUAUUAAUUUA
Molecule: ribosomal RNA, 1343 nt
Filed under: Asicimbex sp. CSCS-Hym-MC0132
Lineage: Eukaryota; Metazoa; Arthropoda; Insecta; Hymenoptera; Cimbicidae
Description: 16S ribosomal RNA
Source: RNAcentral